CUUCCAAAACCGCGCUCAGAAGACUAACCUUCACUCUCAAACUUGACCUGAGAAACACCACCUCCGUCGCUCCGGAUAUUGCCUCCGGCGGCGGCGGAAGUCCAAUUCCCACCAAACUUAUACCAUUCAGUUCGUCUCAGAGUCUUCUACACAAAUAUACCAUCAAUUCUUCCUAAUUCGUGCCCUAACCUCUAAACCGAAACAUUUACCUCAAGAACCCUAAUUACAAAAUCUUCAAAUUAAAUCUCAUCUUCAUUACAUAAUUCUAGGGAUUUAGGAGAGUUAGUUAGAGUUGAAAAUUCUGUUAGGUUAGUUAUGUUUUGAUUUCUAUUACUCGAAUUCUGUUAGUUCAAGGGACUUGAGAAGUUAGUUAUGUGAGAUUCAAAAUUGUUACUUGUGUCUGCUAUCAAGUUUUGUUAGUAGUUAGAUUCUUGAACUGAGCAGUUGCGAUUGAAUUGUUGAUGCAAGUUGUUAUGGUUCAUGAAGCAAUUUUCAAGAAUUUUACCAAAGCUUGGGAUGACACCAUGGCUAACAUGGAAUCAAGUCAAAGCUUAGUGAACAAACUUCAAUAACUUGGAUGAACAAAGAAAGAAUAACUUGAUACAUGAAGAAGAAAUGAAGAUUAGGGUUUAGGAUUAUGUAGUUAACUUUGGUCAACAGUUGGUCAAAAAGUCAAUAGUUGACCAAAAGUCAACCUAGGUAAAAAAAUAGGGUUUUCUUGACGUAAUUGUAUGGACUUGUAAUGGAUACUUAAAAAGUACAUUUGAUGAUUUUAUAAUAAAAUGGCUCUUUUGAAAUGAAAA
Molecule: long non-coding RNA, 803 nt
Organism: Lathyrus oleraceus (garden pea)
Lineage: Eukaryota; Viridiplantae; Streptophyta; Magnoliopsida; Fabales; Fabaceae
Exons: 2
Source: RefSeq, a predicted model, not a curated record